RNAcentral lists this small nuclear RNA (124 nucleotides) under Macaca nemestrina (pig-tailed macaque). Its description in RNAcentral is "U1 spliceosomal RNA (ENSMNEG00000021667.1)". Lineage: Eukaryota; Metazoa; Chordata; Mammalia; Primates; Cercopithecidae. The record is from RNAcentral.
UCCCUUACCUGGCGGAGGACAGACAGUGUUAGGAAAGGGGUUCUCCCUGGACUAGGCUAGUCCACCGCACUUCGGCUGCGCUGACCCCUGCGAUUUCCCCACACGCGGGGCCCUAGUCUGCGGU